Homo sapiens (human) is the source of this 785-nucleotide long non-coding RNA. RefSeq annotates it as FAM131B antisense RNA 1. The record is from RefSeq and is marked validated. The transcript has 3 exons. NCBI's taxonomy places the organism in Eukaryota, Metazoa, Chordata, Mammalia, Primates, Hominidae.
GGUAGCCAGGCAGAAGCUGGAGGGAGAAGAUGGAUUAGGAGGCGCCUCUCUUCCCUCCCCGCGUCAAAGGUAAAUAAAGAGCCGGCCCCGCCCCGCCGGCCCCCGCUGACAGGUGCAGGCGGGUCCCCGGCCGCCGAGGCAGGGCCGGCCCCACCCUCCCGGGCCGCGGGCUCCCGACCCCUCCCAGCGCCUCGAAGCCCCCAUCUCCUCCCCGCGUCCCCCAGCCCCUUCCCUCCACCCGGCCCUGGCCCUGUCCCUCCGGGCGUGGAACCCGGGCUCAUCCCGCCCCCGCCCCAGAGGGAAAACGCACGUGAACAAAGCGAAUCGGAGGAGGCAGGAACGACAGUAAAAGGAACGUGAUUGGACACAGCUUUGGGCUCUGUUGUUUCGAGUGCGCUAUUUUGUCCAUCCAAACAGAAGAUUAUGAAUGGAGAGCUACAUCCCAUGGGGUGGCAGAUGAAGAUGUGCAAGAAGAAGACACUAACAACUGAAUUGCAGAUUGAGGAGAUGAGAUUAUGGUGACAGAAUCCAUCUUCGGUGUAUGUGCAUGAAGAAAUAAGCCAAAUCUACAUCUAUAAAACCGCGGGAAGGAAUGAGAUAAUAAUCAGUUGCAGGUCUGCUUAGAUUUUAAUCGUUUAGUGUAGUUCGUGGCAGGGUCUGAUACCCUAUUUCAAUAGUGGAGAGAAUUAGAAAGCAUUUUCUUUUUUCAUAUCUACUAUUAUUGGUUAUAUAAAAGAAGUAUCAAAUAGUUUCUGCUUUCAUGGAAUAUACUGUCCAGUCGCAAA